This 116-nucleotide ribosomal RNA is filed under the name Pteropus alecto (black flying fox). Lineage: Eukaryota; Metazoa; Chordata; Mammalia; Chiroptera; Pteropodidae. The record is from RNAcentral.
GAUCUCUGCCAUGCCACCCUGAAUAAGCCCGAUGUCUGAUCUUGGAAGCUAAGCAGGGUGAGGCCUGGUUAGUACUUGGAUGAGAGACCACCUAGGAAGACCAGGUGCUGUAGGCA